AUUAAAAUGACAAAGUAAUAUUUACACAACCUGGUGUCCUACCAGUAAGUAUUAAUUAAAAAAACAAACAAACAAAAAAAAUAAAACAUUUUGAAAAUAACCCUUGCAUUUUCCUUUUAAACGGUUCAUUUUGCAAUUAAUGCCCAUAUUCUGCAAUCCUAUAUUAAAUAGUUAAUUUGAGACAGAACCUAUGGGUUAAGACUUGAUUUACAUUUCAAAAGGCCUCCUAUAAUUAGGUUUAAAAGGAAUUAAAAAAAAAAAUAAAACAUGGUGGUACUUUAGUCCAAAAUUAGCCAAUCCAGCGAUCUAGGUUCUUUUCAUGGCUAAGGUCGAGAUAAAGUAUUAAGAGUUUUAAAAAUCUGUUUCUAUACAAUGUACAUGAAUUUAGAAAAGGAUAGACUGGUUAACGUUACUUGUUUUCACAAUCUAAGAAUCCUUAGCGGACACCAUUUAAUGACUACACUUACAGAUUCCUUUUUUACUCGCUUUCUGAUUGCCUCAAUAAUGAUUGAGGAGAGAAUGAGGCCUCUUGAAUAGAGGUCUGUAAUUAGCAGUAGAUGCAUAUAAAACGCUUCUAACCAAAGCCUAACACCCACAAUCCUUUGGGAUCACAGUAUGUUACAAGGAUGAAAUGGUUAACAGUGCAUUACGCAGCAUACAUAUAAAGGCUAACGAGAUAAAGAAAAACACUUAAGCUAAAAACGGCAGAGCUUCUGGAAUGUGUAAAAUAGAGCCAUUUAGAAAGAUGAAAAAGUUUAUAAAUAGGUUGUGUAAUUCCAAUGGUACGAGAUGAGAGAAUGACGGGUGUUAUUUUUAAUAUAAUGUGAAUAGGAUUUAGUCCUGUCAUCAUGUCCGCAAUGAUUCAUUAAAUUAAGGGGGGGGAUAUCUAGGCAGUAUAAUAACACUACGGACAAAAAUAGGGGGAUGGUACCCUAACCGUUAUAAUGUGCCGUAGGAAAAUUAGAGCAAGAUUUACUAAACUAGAAAUUGUCUGGACCUAACCAGAGAAUUUACAAUUUGUAGGUCACAACAAUCAAGAAUGAAAAACUUAACUUUUUUUAUUUUUGCCAUUUUUAAAUUCUCAUGUCAAUUAUCAUAAAUUUUCAUUUUAGCAAAUAAGCGUAAGAAUUGUGUGCAUUCCUACGUGUUCAGCUUAAAACGUACUAGUGGGAAAAAGUUGAUUCAUGAUUUAGGGAUAACAAGGGAAAGAAAUUACAGAUCAUUGAGAGGGUGAGGCUGGACGAAAGGCCAAUGUGGUUAGAGGAAUUGAUCAGCGUUUGCUUGUCAUUGGACGUCUGAGUACUUGUUGCUCAUUGCGAGUCCGAAGUAUGGUUUCUCUGGGUUUUCUGAACAAAGGCAAGGUAAAUUAAACUAUGUUUAACCCUGUUAAAGUACAGAAGAAAAUAUACAUACAUAUAUAUCUACUUUGUGCAAUUUAGGCAACUUCACUUGAAACACAAUCUACUAUGAAUUUAUCGUUGGUUCCCCUUUCAUCUUUAGUCAUUGCGUUGUAGGGUUUGGAACAUGGCUCCAUGAGAUGAUAAACUUGGUGACAGAAUGCUAUAAGGUCACUUUAGAGGUUUUUAUUUUAUCAUCUGAUCAGCUAAAUUAAGUUUGAAUUACAACCACGUGCUUAAUGUGAAACGUAUGCUUAAAUUCUAAACCGGUAACUUACCGGUUAAGGCCACAAUACCUUAUUUAUCAGUGUAUCUUAUAAGGCAUAUCCCAGAGGCGUUAUAUAAAACAUGUCUUGUUCAGGGAGGUGUCUUGUGGGUAGGAUUCACCACAUAUUUCUUACAGUUAUAAUUCUGCCUCUUUACUUUUUUCCCAGUGUGACGAUGGGGUUGAAAUUAUACAUAUGUAUCCAAACUCCAUUUUAAAAAUAUUAAUUAAAAAAUAUUAGACUUAUUGCUUUUCAACUGAACUUAGACCCACUUUAUGUUGCAUUUUGUCUUGGGCUGUUAAGGGAUGUUCUGUUGGCCUACACGCAUAGAUUAAUAUCUUCCCUUCAAGUUGACUAAUUUCACAUCUUUACUUAAUGUUUCCUGUGCAUAUAACAGAUCAUUUUGAACUCUUCUAGAAUAUCAGCUUGCCAGCAUUUUCUGAUGUCAUUCCACAAUUUCUCUUCUACUCUGAUUUAGGUUAUAUCAGAGAAGUCUACAGUUUGAUAGCUAUUAUUUUAGCUGCUUAGCUGAUAACUCCUCCCCAUCAUCUCCAACAAACCUGAUCCCCUCCCACUGGUCCACAACAAGAAAAUAGAAAAAUGUGCAACACUAUGUGGGAACAAUAUGUGACUACCAAGACACCUUCAUAUUAGACAAAUACC
Molecule: non-coding RNA, 2326 nt
Organism: Pelobates cultripes (western spadefoot toad)
Lineage: Eukaryota; Metazoa; Chordata; Amphibia; Anura; Pelobatidae
Source: the annotation of a GenBank genome assembly